RNAcentral lists this ribosomal RNA (190 nucleotides) under uncultured Gammaproteobacteria bacterium. RNAcentral's name for it is "partial 16S ribosomal RNA". It matches the Rfam family "Bacterial small subunit ribosomal RNA", at positions 342 to 524 of the family's 1533-position model. Lineage: Bacteria; Pseudomonadati; Pseudomonadota; Gammaproteobacteria. The record is from RNAcentral.
UAGGAGGCAGCAGUGGGGAAUAUUGGACAAUGGGGGCAACCCUGAUCCAGCCAUGCCGCGUGUGUGAAGAAGGCCUUCGGGUUGUAAAGCACUUUCAGUCGGGAGGAAGGCCUGGCGGUUAAUACCCGUCGGGAUUGACGUUACCGACAGAAGAAGCACCGGCUAACUCCGUGCCAGCGACCGCGGUAAU